This 253-nucleotide ribosomal RNA is filed under the name uncultured bacterium. RNAcentral describes it as "partial 16S ribosomal RNA". It matches the Rfam family "Bacterial small subunit ribosomal RNA", at positions 524 to 776 of the family's 1533-position model. The record is from RNAcentral.
UACGGAGGGCGCAAGCGUUGUUCGGAAUCACUGGGCGUAAAGCGCGUGUAGGCGGCCGGGCAAGUCUGAUGUGAAAUCCCGAGGCUCAACCUCGGAACUGCACUCGAAACUGCUCGGCUCGAGUCUCGGAGAGGAUGGCGGAAUUCCCGGUGUAGGGGUGAAAUCCGUAGAUAUCGGGAGGAACACGAGCGGCGAAGGCGGCCAUCUGGACGGUGACUGACGCUGAGAAGCGAAAGCGUGGGGAGCAAACAGG